GACGAACGCUGGCGGCGUGCUUAACACAUGCAAGUGGAGCGACGAACCGGGGCUUGCCCCGGGGCAGAGCCGCGAACGGGUGAGUAACACGUGGGUUACCUACCCCGAUGAUUGGGACAACCCGAGGAAACUCGGGCUAAUACCAAAUGUGCUCCUGGCCAUAAUGGCCUUGAGGAAAGGAAGCUUCGGCCUCCGCAUCGGGAUGGGCCCGCGGCCCAUUAGCUAGUUGGUGGGGUAACGGCCUACCAAGGCUACGAUGGGUAGCUGGUCUGAGAGG
This 277-nucleotide ribosomal RNA is filed under the name uncultured bacterium. RNAcentral's name for it is "partial 16S ribosomal RNA". It matches the Rfam family "Bacterial small subunit ribosomal RNA", at positions 28 to 299 of the family's 1533-position model. The record is from RNAcentral.